RNAcentral lists this long non-coding RNA (227 nucleotides) under Brassica napus (rape). RNAcentral describes it as "long non-coding RNA (BNAP_LNC019725)". Lineage: Eukaryota; Viridiplantae; Streptophyta; Magnoliopsida; Brassicales; Brassicaceae. The record is from RNAcentral.
AUCUCCAAAAUAGCACAUUUUUAAGUUUAUAUCACAAAAAUAGCACUCAAAAACUAAAAUGACCAAAAUAGCACAUUUCAAAGUUUAUCCUUUAAAAAUUUUAAUUUUUUUAUUUUUCAAAAUUUGAAAUCUUAUCCCCAAAACCUCAUUUCUCAACUCUAAACCCUAAACCCUAAACUCUAAACCCUAAACCUUAAACUCUAAACCCUAAACCCUAAACCAUAAAC